Molecule: long non-coding RNA, 1147 nt
Organism: Pelmatolapia mariae (spotted tilapia)
Lineage: Eukaryota; Metazoa; Chordata; Actinopteri; Cichliformes; Cichlidae
Exons: 3
Source: RefSeq, a predicted model, not a curated record
UAAGUAACAUCCAUUUUACGGUUCACUGGGGCAGGAAGUAGGUGUUUUGUUUUUCUUUUCGACAAAGAGGUGGAAAAGAACUUGUUUCCGGUAGAGCUCGGCUUUGACAGCGUUGCGUUUCCUUCUUUUGGCGGAUUCUUUCGUUUAAGAACAUUUAAGAACAGUCGUUAAAGAGACGGUAGAAAUAACGUCUGAAUACCAACUCUGCGUUAUUAGAAAGUUUAAGGACGAUAGCCAGACGACUUUGAAGGAGAAGAAGAAGGACCGUGUUUGGUUUUAGAGAGAAGCUUCGUGAACAGGCGUCGAGCAGACAUCGCCCUCUCCCUCCGCCUUUUCUCUGACGUCGAAAUAGGGUUGAGACACUUGACACUUUUUGGUUGGGCCAAACCAUGCCGACUAAAACGGGUUUCAAGAAUUGGAUAUGGAUAUUGUUGCGGUGCACACGAAUGGCCUCAACGCUGAAAAACGUUCAGUGACAGCGGGCUGCUGACCGAGUUAGCACAAAGUGGAGGACACUGGCUGAAAUCGUAACGUGAUGUGAAGACGUACAAAGAUGAUCCACCAGUGCCGCCCAGUUUGAGGACAUUUCCAGUCACAUUAAUGGGGGACAGGAGACGCAGCUCCCAUCAGAGCUGAGUUUCUACCAGAGCCAAAUAUCAUCGACUCCUCACUGAACUCGUCCACCAGUCCAACCACUGGAAUCCAGCUGCUGCUCUCUAACUGGUCCACACAGCAGCUCAGACCUGACACAUUCACUGUAAACACACUGGUUUAUAUUCUGUUUGUUCUCCUCAUGAAGGAAACCUCACACAACCACUGAGUUCAAAUCACUGAAAGUUCAAAUGGAAAGUUAUUAUUAUUGGUUUCUUUUAUGAAGAAGCAGAAGAAGAAUGGUACCAUAAAGAUUUUAUUUAUUUUUCAUACUUAAGAGAACAAUUCUUCACCAGGCCUUUCAGAAUAAAAGCAUGACCAAGACAUAAUUUAUACAUAAACAAUAAUAAAUGGUAUGUAACUAAAAUGUAGAUGUAAUCCAUGUGUCAUGUCUUCAGUAACUUUACUGUUAUUUAUGUUAUUUCUAAGUGUGCUGUCGUCUCCACAGCAGUGAUCUGGUUUCUCUGCAGGUUCAAUAAACUUUGGUCUCACUUGA